UACGAAGGUGGCAAGCGUUACUCGGAAUUACUAGGCGUAAAGGGCAGGUAGGUGGUUUGGUUAGUCUGUUGUGAAAGCUCCUUGCUCAACGGGGGAGAGGUCAACAGAUACUGCCAGACUUGAGUAUGGGGAGAGGUUACUGGAAUUCCUGGUGUAGCGGUGAAAUGCGCAGAGAUCAGGAGGAACACCGAUGGCGAAAGCAGGUAACUGGACCAUUACUGACACUCAGCUGCGAAAGCUAGGGGAGCAAACAGG
RNAcentral lists this ribosomal RNA (255 nucleotides) under uncultured bacterium. RNAcentral's name for it is "partial 16S ribosomal RNA". It matches the Rfam family "Bacterial small subunit ribosomal RNA", at positions 524 to 776 of the family's 1533-position model. The record is from RNAcentral.